Molecule: ribosomal RNA, 506 nt
Filed under: uncultured bacterium
Lineage: Bacteria
Description: bacterial SSU rRNA
Rfam family: Bacterial small subunit ribosomal RNA
Source: RNAcentral
AGAGUUGAUCUGGCUCAGGAUGAACGCUGGCGGCGUGACUUAACACGAUGCAAGUCGAACGGAGUUUUAACGGAAGUUUCGGAUGGAAGUUAGAACUAGUGGCGGACGGGUGAGUAACGCGUGGGUAACCUGCCUCAGUACAGGGGGAUAACAGUUAGAAAUGACUGCUAACACCGCAUAAUAUAGCGAAACCGCAUGAUUUUGCUAUCAAAUAUUUAUAGGGUAUGAGAUGGGCCCGCGUCUGAUUAGCUAGUUGGUGGGGUAAAGGCCUACCAAGGCGACGAUCAGUAGCCGGCUUGAGAGAGUGACCGGCCACAUUGGGACUGAGACACGGCCCAAACUCCUACGGGAGGCAGCAGUGGGGAAUAUUGGACAAUGGGGGAAACCCUGAUCCAGCGAACCGCCGCGUGGGUGAAGAAGUAUUUCGGUAUGUAAAGCUCUAUCAGCAGGGAAGAUAAUGACAGUACCUGACUAAGAAGCCCGGCUAACUACGUGCCAGCAGCUGC